UGGGGAAUAUUGCACAAUGGGCGAAAGCCUGAUGCAGCAAUACCGCGUGUGUGAAGAAGGCCUGAGGGUUGUAAAGCACUUUCAAUAGUGAAGAAAAGUUCUUGGUUAAUAGCCUUGAACCUUGACGUUAACUAUACAAGAAGCACCGGCUAACUCCGUGCCAGCAGCCGCGGUAAUACGGAGGGUGCAAGCGUUAAUCGGAAUUACUGGGCGUAAAGGGCGCGCAGGCGGUUUGUCAAGUCCCGUGUGAAAUCCCCCGGCUCAACCGGGGAACUGCGCGGGAAACUAGCAGACUUGAGUUCGGGAGAGGAAAGCGGAAUUCCGGGUGUAGCGGUGAAAUGCGCAGAUAUCCGGAGGAACACCGGUGGCGAAGGCGGCUUUCUGGACCGACACUGACGCUGAGGCGCGAAAGCUAGGGGAGCGAACGGGAUUAGAUACCCCGGUAGUCCUAGCCCUAAACGAUGAGCACUGGGUGUAGGGGGUAUGAACCCCCCCUGUGCCGAAGCUAACGCAUUAAGUGCUCCGCCUGGGGAGUACGGUCGCAAGGCUG
This 550-nucleotide ribosomal RNA is filed under the name uncultured bacterium. RNAcentral describes it as "bacterial SSU rRNA". It matches the Rfam family "Bacterial small subunit ribosomal RNA", at positions 355 to 896 of the family's 1533-position model. The record is from RNAcentral.